Molecule: unclassified non-coding RNA, 373 nt
Filed under: uncultured bacterium
Lineage: Bacteria
Description: contains 16S-23S intergenic spacer region
Source: RNAcentral
UCCGGCUUGUCGCCGGCGGUCCCUUUAGAGUGCCCAACUAAAUGAUGGCAACUAAAGGCGAGGGUUGCGCUCGUUGCGGGACUUAACCCAACAUCUCACGACACGAGCUGACGACAGCCAUGCACCACCUGUACACCGACUAAAAGGGGCUCUAUCUCUAGAGCUUUCCGGCGUAUGUCAAACCCAGGUAAGGUUCUUCGCGUUGCAUCGAAUUAAUCCGCAUGCUCCACCGUUUGUGCGGGCCCCCGUCAAUUCCUUUGAGUUUCAACCUUGCGGUCGUACUCCCCAGGCGGGGUGCUUAAUGCGUUAGCUUCGGCACGGAGGGAGUCGACACCCCCCACACCUAGCACCCAUCGUUUACGGCGUGGACUAC